UCCUCUUAUUUAUUGAAGCAUACAUACAAAAUAAGUGUAUCUUAUCACAACCAAGUAUGUUAUUGCAGCAAACAUUACAUAGGGUACCACAGAGAUGACAUCAAACAAUUGUCCCUCUGAAAUCCUACCACUUAUUAUAGGUAACUAGCUGAAAAAACAUUUACUAAUGCUUGCCUCCAACAACAAUAUUAAUCAAGAUCUGCUUUUGAAGCACAUAUGCAAGAACAUCACCUCAAUAAUAUAACUUGACAUCCAUCCUCCCCCAUUUUUUUUUCCCACAGCCACAAGUCUAACCUUUCCAAAUUCAAACCAUUGUUUGCUAUGCGCACAGUCAACAGAAGUAGAUUCUCUAAAACCCACAACUACCAUUUCUAAUAUAUAUUAGACCUAGGAGGCCAUGUUACAUUUUUCUGUACAAAGCUAGGCUUUACCCUUCAGCCCAAAAUCUAAAAUUUGGA
RNAcentral lists this long non-coding RNA (458 nucleotides) under Elaeis guineensis (African oil palm). RNAcentral's name for it is "long non-coding RNA (EGUI_LNC021370)". The record is from RNAcentral. Lineage: Eukaryota; Viridiplantae; Streptophyta; Magnoliopsida; Arecales; Arecaceae.